UUAAGGAAAUUUUGAUGGGGAAGUAAACAAGGUCAAAGGAAACCUGCAUGGGUGUCAUGGAAAACGAUGUGCAGACCCAAGUUUAUGGGGGGUAUGGGAUUCCGAGCCACAUAACUGUUUAACCUUUCUCUGUUGACCCGACAGGUAUGGAGGUUGCUACAAGACCCAUACUCUCUGAGUGCACGAGUUCUUAAGGCGAGAUAUUACCCUCAGUGUGACAUUCUUGACGCUGCUCUGGGAACUCAUCCAUCCCAAGUAUGGCGCUCACUGUUAGAGGGGAGAGAUGUGUUUGCGUUGGAAAUAAUUAAAAGAAUUGCAUCAGGUGAAAGUACACAUAUUUGAGAAGACAACUGGUUG
Molecule: ribosomal RNA, 357 nt
Filed under: Triticum aestivum (bread wheat)
Lineage: Eukaryota; Viridiplantae; Streptophyta; Magnoliopsida; Poales; Poaceae
Description: partial small subunit ribosomal RNA
Source: RNAcentral